Molecule: long non-coding RNA, 341 nt
Filed under: Elaeis guineensis (African oil palm)
Lineage: Eukaryota; Viridiplantae; Streptophyta; Magnoliopsida; Arecales; Arecaceae
Description: long non-coding RNA (EGUI_LNC024758)
Source: RNAcentral
AUCUUGAAUUCAAACAGAAAAUUUUACAACUACGUCUCAAAUCUGACUAAAUUCACCUACAGAAACUGACUACAUGACUUAGAGAUUUUCUCAAGUCUACAUGUUCGAUUAUGGUCUAAUUAGUUUGCUGCUUCCUAUCGAUUGUUUUUACUUAAUCUUGUCAACUUCACUAUUUAGUCAAUUUUGCAGAAAGACAAGCAAACGAAAAAGAAAAACAUGUAGGCAAACAAGUCGGAGUCAGGAAAAUCAAUAUUAAAGGGAAGAUCAUUUCAUUUCAUUAAAAGGAGUUCAGUGCAAAAAGGAGAAUUUGUUACAAAGCUGAAGAAAAGCUACAAGGCCGA